Strigops habroptila (Kakapo) is the source of this 3959-nucleotide long non-coding RNA. RefSeq lists it as uncharacterized. NCBI's taxonomy places the organism in Eukaryota, Metazoa, Chordata, Aves, Psittaciformes, Psittacidae. The transcript has 3 exons. The record is from RefSeq and is a predicted model, not a curated record.
GACAGCAAAAUUGUCCUGUCCGUUCACUGUGCAGUGUAUGUGGUGUAUUCUGGUGGUGGUGCAUUAUCAGAUAAAUCUUAAGAUAAAAAGCAAACAAAAAAUCCCUGAAGUACUGCAAAACAAUAUCAAUGUGAAGUGAGGAAGUUCUAAAUGCAAUUUUGAAUAGGUUAAUUUCUCAAAAAAGAUGUUGCUGAUGGCAUGAUGCUUCUUUAAGCUAUUAGUGUAUGUGUCUGUGCUGUCCAAUAGAAGAAGUGACAGUAUUUAGCUAGUGCAUACUCAAGCAUUGUGGCUAGUGGCCGGGUUUUUACCUGCUUGCAUCAUUUGAAGUGGCAGCUUGUGUUGUCAGCUUGGCACUGAAUGACUUCAGUAUCUCUUUAACAGAUCUCAGUUGUGUUCUGUAACAGCAAGUAAGUACUCUGAUAAAGAGGAAUAUAAUUUACAUGAACAAACUGGGAAUAGAAUUUGCUUAAAUAUGGGACUUUUAAUUAGUAAAGCACCUCCUGAUUCUUGAAACACGCUAAUGAAACUAAUUUAUUGCGAUGUUAAUUUGUUGUUCUACUUAUAAAACUAUGUAGAGACAUUACUCAAUAUUUAUCUUUCAGUAGAACUGUGUUGCCAAGCACUGAUUAUUGUUGCAGUAAAAAUAUCUUAGAUAUCUAAAAUUUGAUUAGAAUGUUCAGAUAAUGCAGGAAGUUUCAUUGCAAAAAUGUACUGUUCUUUGGAAUUUUUGCUGAUGGUAGAAAUAAAAUAUUUGAAAUUGAGUGGGCCAUUCGUAACAAACAUACAGUUGUCUCACUCUUAUUCUUGGUUUCCGCAUUCUUCACUUUGUAACUGACAGUUUUGGGUUUAGUCUGUCAUAACCAAUGUGGCUUGACAUCAAGCUUUAAAAAGUCAUCAUGCCUGUUUUGAUCUAACUGAAAUGUGAAGAAGUAGGGCAGAAGUUGUUUGGUCAAAACAUAGGAGAAUUCAUACUUAAAUCUCUUUUGUUUCUGCAAGACUUAUAUUACCGUGUUACCUUGUCUUUUAUUUUGUGUUUUGGCACAUAUUGACCUUGAAGACAUGUAUUACAUGGUGUUCUACAAAUGUGUUAUAUUUUCCCUUCCCUCGUCUAUUGAGUUGAGAGGGUUUAUGAAUGUUGGAGGAAAACGACAAAGGGAAAAAUACAUUAAGAGGAGUAGAAACAGUGAUAGGACAAGAAUAAGCAGGGAGAGACAGGAUACUUAAUGUUAAAAGGCAGAUGGGUUGAUUAUAGUAAGGAAGUAAGGGGAUAUGCUGGUACUUGAGGCUUUACUAGAAGCAUUUGGCUUUAUAGAGCUAGUUUUAUCCAAACAAAUGAAGAUGAUGUUACAGGUGUAUGUUUUGAUUUUACAACUGAUCUGUUUAGGAUUUAACAGGCUAUUUGUGAAAUAAUUAUAACUUGGAUCUUGCUUUAAAGUAUGAGACACUAAAACCAUGGGUAGUCAUUGGAAAAGUAUGUCAAGUCUGUCAGCAUUUGUUGCAACUCUGCUACUCUUUUCCGUGUGGUAAAGGACUGUCCUGCAUCCUCCUAUUUUGUUCAGGUGUGAGGUUCACAAAAUGAUUUCUUUAUUACCAGUACUUAGUGGUUUUAAAUGGUCUGAAUAAAUGCUAAAAUCUGUUACUUGAGGUAGGAAAAGACAGUUAUCCAUGGAAGAUGAGUGCCUCCAUAAUGCAAGCUAUAGCGUAGUUUUCUUCUGUUGUGUGUGAAAGAUGUGGCAGGAGAGUUAAGGAAGCUCUGUUUUAACUUGGGUACAUAACUGACCAAAUCUUACUUAGCUGUGAGGAUUUUUCCAGCACACUUCUGUCAGUUAAGAGAGUGUGAAUGGAAAAACACUCCCUUGAAAUACCUACAGAAGGUGCCACCUAUGCUGGGAAGAAUAAUGUAUAUGUACUAGCAAGAAAUCUUAUUUGCUUUUCUCUCUUUUGAUCCCAAGGGGCAAUUUGCAGUACAGAGAUACCAUCAGAAGUAUUUUAGAAAGAAAAUCUCCUUAAUCUGAUUUAUGUUCAGAGCAAUGAUAUAGCCAGAUUUGUGUUCUUGUUCCCUGUGUUCCUCCCCUUUCCCCUGCCUGUGUUGUGGCAUUCUCUAUUUCAUGUUUGACAGAAUUGACAUCUUCCCAUCAAUGUUUUCUCAGCAUGCAAUUUUCUUUUGAUAACCCCUCUUGAGUUAAUAUAUACACAUUCCAGCCAAAGAGUUUUCAGUCCAUGAUGUCCUAAUUUCAGGAUAGUUAUCAUGGCAAUAGUAGCAGCAUUCGCAGUCUUCAGACAGUUGCUGUGAAUGGAGAUGUAGUCCAACCAACCAUCAGCACUCAAGAUACCUGCUGACUUCAACUUGGUUGCAUAGUUCCUAAUGAUUUUCAGGAGGCGUAUAGAAUUAUCGACGAGAUGUGCUUUACAUACAAAUGUAAUCCUUUACAUUUCAGAUCAAAAUUUAAACAAAGUGUAAAUUUGGAGUCAGAAUACAUGUUUGGAUAUUUUUAAAACUCUUUCUGUAGUUGUUAGUCUUUCAAUUGUUAAAAUUCAAAGGACUAGAAACUCUGGUUUUCUUAGUUCUUUAUUCCUCUCAGUUGCAUUUGUAUAGGUUGUAUUUCUUCUUCCAGCAGUUGGAAAUUUGAGAAAUUAAGAGAAAUUUGCCAGCAGUGCCCAAUGUAAAGAAGUUUUAUUCAGGUGACAGAAUCUGUUCAUGUGCAUGUGUGUGACUCCUGCCCACCUGUUUUCUUGUUCUUGUUCAUUCUUUCUUGCUCUUGCUUGCAUUUUCUCAAUCUUUCACUUUUAAGGCAGUACUGAGCCAGAAGUGUUUCAGUAUCAGUGUACAUACAACCGAAAGCAUCUUCUCCUGCAGAUUAUGGGUACUAGUGAAACUAUUACAGACACAUGUCCUUCUAAACUUACCCUAAUGAAACACCUCAGUGUUGUGUUGUUCCAGGACUUAAAACACCUCAAAGAAAAGGUCAUUUGUUUGCCUUGGUGUGAUGCUCAAUAAAACUGGUAUGUCAAACAGCAACUCCCUAAUACUAAAAAGGUUUAUGUAUUGUAUUUAUUGCCUCAUUAUUGAGUCUUGCCAUUAAACCUUCACUUUCAAAUAGUAUGACUCUUACACUGAUUACCAUCUCAAUAAAGACAGCGAGACUUGCUCUGCAAAGUUAAUUGCUAGGAAUUGUUCAACAGACCUCACAAAUGGGUAUUUGUUGAGUGUAUUCCAUCAAGCAGAUUUUUAUCAUGCUUCUUUGUAUUCAAAGUGACCUUUACAGUGCUUAUGAGGAGAAUAAUUUAGUGUAUACCAUAUUAGAAUUGAAUAUUCUUCAGUCACUGUUGGAAGUAUUUGAGGGCUUGUGAUCUUUUAUGGUUGCUUCAGAAUAAACCCUUGUUAGUGCUGCCUGAGAAAAUAAAAACGUUAAAGCAAAUUCUGGGAUUGUGUGCCUGAAAUUGCUGAAACAAGUGAGGGUGAGGCCGUGGUAUGGAGUUUCUUUUACACAUGUAGAAAUGUACAAGAAAUGCUCUCCAUGGUUGCAUGGUUUAAAAGAAUUGGGCAAAAAUCUAAAGUAGCUUGACAGUAACAGUCAAAACCCACUUUAUAUAUUGCUUUUGGUAGCUAAUUGGUAUAUAUCAGUUUCCUUUAUAAAUACCAACUUAUAAAGCUCUGAAACAAAUGGAGAUUAUGUUGAACAAAGCCAUGUUCAAGGUUACAGCAAACUUCAGUGUUGUACAGAAUGAGCUCUUAACUAAUGCAGCAGCAGCUGUUUGCUGCUGGUGUGAAUGGGAAUGGGGGACUGGUAACUGCACUGUGUUACCCCCGGAGGUGAGUUAUCCGGGCUCCAAGGUUAAAAGUCAGACGUGGUGAAGCAAGGCAGGAGUAUGCACUGAGUUUGCAACUGGCAUUAGUCAAAGAGACCCCACCUUGAGAACGGCAUCCAGCUCUGGAGUCCUCAGUACAGGAACGACAU